GAUGAAGAACGUAGCGAAAUGCGAUAAGUAGUGUGAAUUGCAGAAUUCAGUGAAUCAUCGAAUCUUUGAACGCACAUUGCGCCCCGUGGUAUCCCGAGGGGCAUGCCUGUUCGAGCGUCAUUUCACCACUCAAGCCUGGCUUGGUGUUGGGCGACGUCCCCUUUGGGGACGCGCCUCGAAACGCUCGGCGGCGUGGCACCGGCUUUAAGCGUAGCAGAAUCUUUCGCUUUGGUAGUCGGGGCCCCGUCUGCCGGAAGACCUACUCGCAAGGUUGACCUCGGAUCAGGCAGGGAUACCCGCUGAACUUAAGCAUAUCAAUAAGCGGAGGA
Molecule: unclassified non-coding RNA, 329 nt
Filed under: soil metagenome
Description: partial contains 5.8S ribosomal RNA, internal transcribed spacer 2, and large subunit ribosomal RNA
Rfam family: 5.8S ribosomal RNA (bases 1-120)
Source: RNAcentral